UCAAAACCCCAAUUUAAACCUCCCGAAGAAGUAUCGUGAACUUCUCUAAGUUUAAUUUGUACUUCAUGCAAUUUAUCUACAUCUGUAUGAAUCUGACCAGUAACAUUAUCUAUCUUUAAACAACAUCUUGUUUUUAUUAGUGCACAAACGCCACCUUUGGAGGCCAACAAGUAAUCUAGGGCGAACCUAUUUUGCAUAAUCAUAGCUGAAGCUUGUUCCUGUUCGGCAGACAAUUUUUCAAUAGCAUCUCCUGUAUUAUUAAAGGCUUCAUCUAGUAUAUCUGCUAACAAGUUUAAUUUAUACAUUAAUUCAAUAACCCCCCAUGUAGGUACAAAACCUGCAAAUAGCCUAUCUCCUUCACCAGAUUUUACAGUUCUUUCGGUUUUAUCUUUUUUGGAACUAAUAACCUUUCUUUUAUUCCUCACCCUUCCUUCAGGCAAAUUUUCAUGAAGGGUUAACGCUGGGAUAAUAUUACCUAGAUAACAAGUUUCCACCCAAUUGCAUGGAAGUCUUUUUACCGCCCAACUACCACAUAAAUAGUAUACCCCAAAUGGAAGAUGAAUAUCAAUAACACGAGAAUCUGAGCAGUCAAAAAUAGGUUGAUUAAUAUAGGGCAGUAGCAUAAAAAGAUUGGAAGUUAAAGUUUGAGUAUUAAAGUAGGCCCAUCUCAAAAUAGUGACAUUUAAAUGUUCAUUCUGGUCAUAAUUAUUAUCCAUGAUUUCUACCUCAGAAGUCAAAUUUACCCACACAUGAUUAGUAAUCACCGGGAUUCUAUCCUUGAUGGGACAUUUUGUCAAAAUAUCUUCUAAUAAGGGUUUCCAACAAAAAGCUUUCAAUUUACCAGUACAAGGGGCAGAAUUAGUUUCAGACCCACAUAGAUUAUAAAGGACAUUGUUUUCAAAAAUAACAAUAGCAUUGCUUAUAGGCUUAACAAUCUUGUCAGGACUUUUCUGAUCCCUGUUAGAAAUUACUACUGCUCCACUAGUAAUGGCAUAUGUUAAAUGAACCUUAGCAGGUUCCUCAGAUUUGGAUACUUCAUUCUGAAUAAAUCCAACAAACCCCGUUUUAUUUGCUCUUACUCUCUCAUAAAGAGAUUCCAUAGACCAUGGCACCCCCACAAAAGGAUAACCAUAGUUCAUGGAAUGCGGAGCAAACCCACAAACCCAACAAUGAUUACUUUUGUUUGACAAUUUAUACAAUUCAGCAGCUGUUUUAACGAAAUGAUUAUCUAUCUCCCAUGAAGAAAAAUCACUUGGGUUCUCGGCCCAAAUUACACGUGUAUUUAAGAAGAAAGGAGCUAACGUGGUGUAGAGGAUAAAAUUUUUUAAAAAUGUCAUAAUGACAAUCAUUAAGGACAAUAUAAGUUUAACCAGUUUGAGAUUCAUGAAGAAAAACAGUAGAGUUAACUUUGGAUUAGAAAGAUACUCCCCUUAAUAAGUACCCCUUUUUAUAAGGGAAAACGGCUUCCUUAGUCCUCUAUUCUUCUUCCAGUGAAAAAAUCUUUUUCAGCGCUUGUCAGUUUACAAUGAGAAAUGUGGAUCCAAGAUUUAACUUCUGCGACUUUAACAGCUGAAUUAGUGGUUAAUAACACUUGACAAGGUCCUUUCCACCUUGGUUGCAACGCGUGCUUUCGUGAAUGGUCUUUUAUCAUAACAUAAUCUCCAGGAGCGAUGGCAUGCAAAGGUUGGUAUUCACUUG
Non-coding RNA from Pelobates cultripes (western spadefoot toad), 1698 nucleotides. The record is from the annotation of a GenBank genome assembly. NCBI's taxonomy places the organism in Eukaryota, Metazoa, Chordata, Amphibia, Anura, Pelobatidae.